GCCCAGGUGGCUCAGUCGGUUGAGCGUCCGACUUCGGCUUGGGUCGCGAUCUCACGGUUCGUGAGUUCGAGCCCCGCGUUGGGCU
Molecule: transfer RNA, 85 nt
Organism: Felis catus (domestic cat)
Lineage: Eukaryota; Metazoa; Chordata; Mammalia; Carnivora; Felidae
Rfam family: tRNA
About the family: Transfer RNA (tRNA) molecules are approximately 80 nucleotides in length. Their secondary structure includes four short double-helical elements and three loops (D, anti-codon, and T loops). Further hydrogen bonds mediate the characteristic L-shaped molecular structure. tRNAs have two regions of fundamental functional importance: the anti-codon, which is responsible for specific mRNA codon recognition, and the 3' end, to which the tRNAs corresponding amino acid is attached (by aminoacyl-tRNA synthetases). tRNAs cope with the degeneracy of the genetic code in two manners: having more than one tRNA (with a specific anti-codon) for a particular amino acid; and 'wobble' base-pairing, i.e. permitting non-standard base-pairing at the 3rd anti-codon position.
Source: Rfam